RNAcentral lists this ribosomal RNA (1000 nucleotides) under uncultured bacterium. RNAcentral describes it as "bacterial SSU rRNA". It matches the Rfam family "Bacterial small subunit ribosomal RNA", at positions 355 to 1375 of the family's 1533-position model. The record is from RNAcentral. RNAcentral also lists the same sequence under 1 other name.
UGGGGGAUAUUGCGCAAUGGGGGCAACCCUGACGCAGCAACGCCGCGUGAAGGAUGAAGGUUUUCGGAUUGUAAACUUCUUUUAUUAAGGACGAAAAAUGACGGUACUUAAUGAAUAAGCUCCGGCUAACUACGUGCCAGCAGCCGCGGUAAUACGUAGGGAGCGAGCGUUGUCCGGAAUUACUGGGUGUAAAGGGAGCGUAGGCGGGAUCGCAAGUCAGAUGUGAAAACUAUGGGCUUAACCCAUAAACUGCAUUUGAAACUGUGGUUCUUGAGUGAAGUAGAGGUAAGCGGAAUUCCUAGUGUAGCGGUGAAAUGCGUAGAUAUUAGGAGGAACAUCAGUGGCGAAGGCGGCUUACUGGGCUUUAACUGACGCUGAGGCACGAAAGCGUGGGUAGCAAACAGGAUUAGAUACCCUGGUAGUCCACGCUGUAAACGAUGAUUACUAGGUGUGGGGGGUCUGACCCCUUCCGUGCCGGAGUUAACACAAUAAGUAAUCCACCUGGGGAGUACGGCCGCAAGGUUGAAACUCAAAGGAAUUGACGGGGGCCCGCACAAGCAGUGGAGUAUGUGGUUUAAUUCGAAGCAACGCGAAGAACCUUACCAGGUCUUGACAUCCAACUAACGAAGUAGAGAUACAUUAGGUGCCCUUCGGGGAAAGUUGAGACAGGUGGUGCAUGGUUGUCGUCAGCUCGUGUCGUGAGAUGUUGGGUUAAGUCCCGCAACGAGCGCAACCCUUGCUAUUAGUUGCUACGCAAGAGCACUCUAAUAGGACUGCCGUUGACAAAACGGAGGAAGGUGGGGACGACGUCAAAUCAUCAUGCCCCUUAUGACCUGGGCUACACACGUACUACAAUGGAUGUUAACAGAGGGAAGCAAGACAGCGAUGUGGAGCAAACCCCUAAAAACAUUCUCAGUUCAGAUUGCAGGCUGCAACCCGCCUGCAUGAAGAUGGAAUUGCUAGUAAUCGCGGAUCAGCAUGCCGCGGUGAAUACGUUCCC